Molecule: ribosomal RNA, 492 nt
Filed under: uncultured bacterium
Lineage: Bacteria
Description: partial 16S ribosomal RNA
Rfam family: Bacterial small subunit ribosomal RNA
Source: RNAcentral
AGUGAACGCUGGCGGUAGGCCUAACACAUGCAAGUCGAACGGCAGCACAGUAAGAGCUUGCUCUUACGGGUGGCGAGUGGCGGACGGGUGAGGAAUACAUCGGAAUCUACUUUUUCGUGGGGGAUAACGUAGGGAAACAUACGCUAAUACCGCAUACGACCUACGGGUGAAAGCAGGGGAUCUUCGGACCUUGCGCGAUAGAAUGAGCCGAUGUCGGAUUAGCUAGUUGGCGGGGUAAAGGCCCACCAAGGCGACGAUCCGUAGCUGGUCUGAGAGGAUGAUCGGCCACACUGGAACUGAGACACGGUCCAGACUCCUACGGGAGGCAGCAGUGGGGAAUAUUGGACAAUGGGCGCAAGCCUGAUCCAGCCAUACCGCGUGAGUGAAGAAGGCCUUCGGGUUGUAAAGCCCUUUUGUUAGGAAAGAAAAGCAGCAGGUUAAUACCCCGCUGUUCUGACGGUACCCAAAGAAUAAGCCCCGGCUAACUUCGUG